Heterocephalus glaber (naked mole-rat) is the source of this 91-nucleotide small nuclear RNA. Its record names the gene U2. It matches the Rfam family "U2 spliceosomal RNA". From Rfam's summary of the family: U2 is a small nuclear RNA (snRNA) component of the spliceosome (involved in pre-mRNA splicing). Complementary binding between U2 snRNA (in an area lying towards the 5' end but 3' to hairpin I) and the branchpoint sequence (BPS) of the intron results the bulging out of an unpaired adenosine, on the BPS, which initiates a nucleophilic attack at the intronic 5' splice site, thus starting the first of two transesterification reactions that mediate splicing. The record is from Ensembl. Lineage: Eukaryota; Metazoa; Chordata; Mammalia; Rodentia; Bathyergidae.
AUCCCUUCUCAGCCUUUUGGCUAAGAUCAAGUGUAGUACAAAUAGUAAAGACACUUUAUCCAGAGAAAAUCAUUUUCUGAGCAUAACUUUU